This is a long non-coding RNA of Brassica oleracea var. oleracea, 525 nucleotides long. RefSeq lists it as uncharacterized. The transcript is spliced from 5 exons. The record is from RefSeq and is a predicted model, not a curated record. NCBI's taxonomy places the organism in Eukaryota, Viridiplantae, Streptophyta, Magnoliopsida, Brassicales, Brassicaceae.
GCGAUGACUUUUCAUACACACAUGAGGGUGUACCGGAUCGGUUCAAGACAAUCGAGUAUUAUGGGUUCACCUCAAGUUAUCAGAUACAGCUCUAUCCCUAUUCUUUCAUAUUCAAUUCACUUGUAGUUAUUCUUCUCCAACACAAGCUGCAAUCACUACGGAUCUCAGUUUAACUGUAGCUGAGGACCUGAGUACUCUGUGUUUGGUUCUCUAUCCAACGUGGCUGCUAUGGUUGGUGCAAUUUCCACUGGUCAGAUCGCAUAAUAUAUUGAACGAAAAGGGUCCCUCAUGAAUGCUGGUCGGCUUUGCAUAUUAUUUGCAAAAGCAAUAGGUUUAAAGAAGCAUAUGAAAAGGCUCAAUGCUCCAAAACAUUGGAUGCUUGACAAACUUGGUGGUGCAUUUAUAUUUCUUCUAUGAGAAUUCAUGUCUUCUCUAUGAUAGCGAGGGACGUUUCCGUCUUCACUCCAUCAGGGACGAAGAACCUAAGGCUUUGUUUUCUCUUGCUCUUGAUAUAAUUUAGAGUAA